UACGUAGGGCGCAAGCGUUAUCCGGAAUUAUUGGGCGUAAAGAGCUCGUAGGCGGUUUGUCGCGUCUGCCGUGAAAGUCCGGGGCUCAACCCCGGAUCUGCGGUGGGUACGGGCAGACUAGAGUGAUGUAGGGGAGACUGGAAUUCCUGGUGUAGCGGUGAAAUGCGCAGAUAUCAGGAGGAACACCGGUGGCGAAGGCGGGUCUCUGGGCCGAUACUGACGCUGAGGAGCGAAAGCGUGGGGAGCGAACAGG
This 253-nucleotide ribosomal RNA is filed under the name uncultured bacterium. RNAcentral's name for it is "partial 16S ribosomal RNA". It matches the Rfam family "Bacterial small subunit ribosomal RNA", at positions 524 to 776 of the family's 1533-position model. The record is from RNAcentral.